This 45-nucleotide transfer RNA is filed under the name Cyrtodactylus astrum. Its description in RNAcentral is "partial tRNA-Tyr". Lineage: Eukaryota; Metazoa; Chordata; Lepidosauria; Squamata; Gekkonidae. The record is from RNAcentral.
UAGCAGGCUGUAGACCUGCCCACGGGGCAGGCGCCCCCCUCCCAA